This 496-nucleotide ribosomal RNA is filed under the name uncultured bacterium. RNAcentral describes it as "partial 16S ribosomal RNA". It matches the Rfam family "Bacterial small subunit ribosomal RNA", at positions 28 to 506 of the family's 1533-position model. The record is from RNAcentral.
GAUGAACGCUGGCGGCGUGCCUAAUACAUGCAAGUCGAGCGAACAGAUGAGGAGCUUGCUCCUCUGACGUUAGCGGCGGACGGGUGAGUAACACGUGGAUAACCUACCUAUAAGACUGGGAUAACUUCGGGAAACCGGAGCUAAUACCGGAUAAUAUAUUGAACCGCAUGGUUCAAUAGUGAAAGACGGUUUUGCUGUCACUUAUAGAUGGAUCCGCGCCGCAUUAGCUAGUUGGUAAGGUAACGGCUUACCAAGGCAACGAUGCGUAGCCGACCUGAGAGGGUGAUCGGCCACACUGGAACUGAGACACGGUCCAGAGUCCUACGGGAGGCAGCAGUAGGGAAUCUUCCGCAAUGGGCGAAAGCCUGACGGAGCAACGCCGCGUGAGUGAUGAAGGUCUUCGGAUCGUAAAACUCUGUUAUUAGGGAAGAACAAAUGUGUAAGUAACUAUGCACGUCUUGACGGUACCUAAUCAGAAAGCCACGGCUAACUACGU